AUUGAACGCUGGCGGCAUGCUUUACACAUGCAGGUCGAACGGUAACAGGGAGCUUGCUCCGCUGACGAGUGGCGAACGGGUGAGUAAUGCGUCGGAACGUGCCGAGUAGUGGGGGAUAACGCAGCGAAAGUUGUGCUAAUACCGCAUACGUACUGAGGUAGAAAGUGGGGGACCUUCGGGCCUCACGCUAUUCGAGCGGCCGACGUCUGAUUAGCUAGUAGGUGAGGUAAAGGCUCACCUAGGCAACGAUCAGUAGCGGGUCUGAGAGGAUGAUCCGCCACACUGGGACUGAGACACGGCCCAGACUCCUACGGGAGGCAGCAGUGGGGAAUUUUGGACGAUGGGCGAAAGCCUGAUCCAGCCAUGCCGCGUGUCUGAAGAAGGCCUUCGGGUUGUAAAGGACUUUUGUCGGGGAGGAAAUCCCCAGCGUUAAUACCGCUGGGGGAUGACAGGACCUGAAGAAUAAGCACCGGCUAACUACGUGCCAGCCGCCGCGGUAA
Molecule: ribosomal RNA, 500 nt
Filed under: uncultured bacterium
Lineage: Bacteria
Description: partial 16S ribosomal RNA
Rfam family: Bacterial small subunit ribosomal RNA
Source: RNAcentral